GGACGGGUAUGCCUAGCGGCGAGGGCAGCGGACUGUAAAUCCGUCACAGAGAAACACCGCAGGUUCGAGUCCUGCCCCGUCCA
RNAcentral lists this transfer RNA (83 nucleotides) under Acetatifactor sp. RNAcentral's name for it is "tRNA-Tyr". It matches the Rfam family "tRNA". Rfam says of the family: Transfer RNA (tRNA) molecules are approximately 80 nucleotides in length. Their secondary structure includes four short double-helical elements and three loops (D, anti-codon, and T loops). The record is from RNAcentral. Lineage: Bacteria; Bacillati; Bacillota; Clostridia; Lachnospirales; Lachnospiraceae.